This 78-nucleotide transfer RNA is filed under the name Verrucomicrobiota bacterium. RNAcentral's name for it is "tRNA-Val". It matches the Rfam family "tRNA". Rfam says of the family: Transfer RNA (tRNA) molecules are approximately 80 nucleotides in length. Their secondary structure includes four short double-helical elements and three loops (D, anti-codon, and T loops). Lineage: Bacteria; Pseudomonadati; Verrucomicrobiota. The record is from RNAcentral.
UGGACGGAUAGCUCAGUUGGUUAGAGCACCUCGUUUACACCGAGGAAGUCGUGGGUUCGAGUCCCUCUCCGUCCACCC